CGGGCUUGACAUCCUGGUGGAAUUUUAUAGAGAUAUAGAACCUCUUUUCGGAGACGCCAGAGAC
This 64-nucleotide ribosomal RNA is filed under the name uncultured bacterium. RNAcentral describes it as "partial 16S ribosomal RNA". The record is from RNAcentral.